This 449-nucleotide ribosomal RNA is filed under the name uncultured prokaryote. RNAcentral describes it as "bacterial SSU rRNA". It matches the Rfam family "Bacterial small subunit ribosomal RNA", at positions 355 to 796 of the family's 1533-position model. The record is from RNAcentral.
UGGGGAAUAUUGGACAAUGGGCGCAAGCCUGAUCCAGCAAUGCCGCGUGUGUGAAGAAGGCCUGCGGGUUGUAAAGCACUUUCAGUAGAGAAGAAAAGCCUAGGGUUAAUACCCCUGAGUCUUGACGUAACCUACAGAAGAAGCACCGGCUAACUCCGUGCCAGCAGCCGCGGUAAUACGGAGGGUGCAAGCGUUGUUCGGAAUUACUGGGCGUAAAGGGCGCGUAGGCGGUCUGUUGCGUCAGGUGUGAAAGCCCCGGGCUCAACCUGGGAGGUGCACUUGAUACGGGCGGACUGGAAUCCGGGAGAGGAUGGUGGAAUUCCCAGUGUAGAGGUGAAAUUCGUAGAUAUUGGGAAGAACACCGAUGGCGAAGGCAGCCAUCUGGCCCGGUAUUGACGCUGAGGCGCGAAAGCGUGGGGAGCAAACAGGAUUAGAUACCCCCGUAGUCC